UAAGACCAAAGUGCAACUAAGCUGUCAUAAGCCUAAGAUGCGUCUAAGACCCCCUCCCUUAAUAUGAUCUUAGUACUACGACUAACUGAAACCCACGAAAGCCAAGGCACAAACUGGGAUUAGAUACCCCACUAUGCUUGGCCCUAAAUCUAGAUGUUUCUUCCACCAAAACAUCCGCCCGAGAACUACGAGCGCAAACGCUUAAAACUCUAAGGACUUGGCGGUGCCCUAAACCCACCUAGAGGAGCCUGUUCUGUAAUCGAUAAUCCACGUUACACCCGACCUCUCCUUGCUAAAACAGCCUACAUACCGCCGUCGUCAGCCCACCUUUACUGAAAGAACAAUAGUGGGCUUAACAGCCCCACCCGCUAGCAAGACAGGUCGAGGUAUAGCCCAUGGAGAGGAAGUAAUGGGCUACAUUUUCUAAAAUAGAAUACUUUACGGAAAGGGGCUGUGAAACCACCCCUGGAAGGCGGAUUUAGCAGUAAAGUGGAACAAUGUAAGUCCACUUUAAGUUGGCCCUGGGGCACGUACAUACCGCCCGUCACCCUCC
Molecule: ribosomal RNA, 553 nt
Filed under: Irediparra gallinacea (comb-crested jacana)
Lineage: Eukaryota; Metazoa; Chordata; Aves; Charadriiformes; Jacanidae
Description: partial 12S ribosomal RNA
Rfam family: Bacterial small subunit ribosomal RNA
Source: RNAcentral